UAACAAGGUUUCCGUAGGUGAACCUGCGGAAGGAUCAUUAUCGUGGGGGCCCUCGUGGCCCUUUGCGUGAUGCAAACCCUUGCCUUUUUUUCAGUGUCUAUCCGUUUCCUCGGCAGCUUCGCCUGCCAACGAGGACCCUUAGAAACCCUUUUGCAAUCCCGGUACGAAACUCUGAAAAGCACAAACGUCAAAACUUUCAACAAUGGAUCUCUUGGCUCUGGCAUCGAUGAAGAACGCAGCGAAAUGCGAUAAGUAGUGUGAAUUGCAGAAUUCAGUGAAUCAUCGAAUCUUUGAACGCACAUUGCGCCCUUUGGUAUUCCUUAGGGCAUGCCUGUUCGAGCGUCAUUUCAAACCUUCAAGCUCAGCUUGGUGAUGGGCAGUUUGUCUCUCCGCAAACUUACCGCGGCGGACUUGCCUCAAAUACACGGAAGGGGCAGGCAUCUCUCCUCGGCUCAAGACGCAGCAGACUUGCGUCGCUUGUCCCGGGCGAGGGGUGCCUUCCACGUAAAGCAAAUCCAACCUAAGUUUGACCUCGGA
Molecule: ribosomal RNA, 537 nt
Filed under: Lophiostoma vaginatispora
Lineage: Eukaryota; Fungi; Ascomycota; Dothideomycetes; Pleosporales; Lophiostomataceae
Description: eukaryotic LSU rRNA
Rfam family: 5.8S ribosomal RNA (bases 192-345)
Source: RNAcentral